GUUGAAGGGAGUAGACCACGGCGCAGCGUGGUUAGUGCUCAUCUUGUAUUUAUUAAACAGAGAACACUAUAAACAAAGAAACAAAAACGACAGCCCACAGUUCUGUCAGGUUAGACAACUAAACAGAAAUGUAACCACCCACAAACACAAUGAAAAAAAAAACUACUUAAAUAUGGUCUCUAAUCAGAGGCAACGAGAUUCAGCUGCCUCCAAUUAGAGACCAACCCCAAACAAUUCCAACAUAGAAAUAGAUACCCUAGAAUAAACAUAGAAAUAGAAGAACAUAGAUCAUAACCCGAAAACACACAGAAAAACACCCCCUGCCACGCCCUGACCAAACUACAAUAAGAAAUAACCCCUUUUACUGGUAAGGACGUGACAGUACCCCCCCCCCCCCCCCAAAGGUGCAGACCCCGAAAUGCACCUCAAACAAAAAAAACCCUGAAAAACAACCCCAAACUUAAAUCAAAUCAAAUCAAAUGUAUUUAUAUAGCCCUACAUACAUCAGCUGAUAUCUCAAAGUGCUGUACAGAAACCCAGCCUAAAACCCCAAACAGCAAGCAAUGCAUGUGAAAGAAGCACGGUGGCUAGGAAAAACUCCCUAGGAAAAACUCCCUAGAAAGGCCAAAAACCUAGGAAGAAACCUAGAGAGGAACCAGGCUAUGAGGGGUGGCCAGUCCUCUUCUGGCUGUGCCGGGUGGAUAUUAUAACAGAACAUGGUCAAAAUGUUAAAAUGUUCAUAAAUGACCAGCAUGGUCAAAUAAUAAUAAUCAUAGUAGUUGUCGAGGGUGCAACAAGCACGUCCGGUGAACAGGUCAGGGUUCCAUAGCCGCAGGCAGAACAGUUGAAACUGGAGCAGCAGCAUGGCCAGGUGGACUGGGGACAGCAAGGAGUCAUCAUGCCAGGUAGUCCUGAGGCAUGGUCCUAGGGCUCAGGUCCUCCGAGAGAAAGACAGAAAGAGAGAAAGAGAGAAUUAGAGAGAGCACAUUUAAAUUCACACAGGACACCGGAUAAGACAAGAGAAAUACUCCAGAUGUAACAGACUGACCCUAGCCCCCCGACACAUAAACUACUGCAGCAUAAAUAUUGGAGGCUGAGACAGGAGGGAUCAGGAGACACUGUGGCCCCAUCCGAUGAAACCCCCGGACAGGGCCAAACAGGCAGGAUAUAACCCCACCCACUUUGCCAAAGCACAGCCCCCACACCACUAGAGGGAUGUCUCCAACCACCAACUUACCGUCCUAAGACAAGGCAGAGUAUAGCCCACAAAGAUCUCCGCCACGGCACAACCCAAGGGGGGGGCGCCAACCCAGACAGGAAGACCUAGUCAGUGACUCAGCCCACUCAAGUGACGCACCCCUCCCAUGGACGGCAUGGAAGAACACCAGUACGCCAGUGACUCAGCCCCUGUAAUAGGGUUAGAGGCAGAGAAUCCCAGGAGGCUGAGGAUUAAAGAGAGGGAAGGGAGGGCGGCCACCGUCAACGACAGUUCUUGUGCUACACCCCCCCUUCCCAAUCCUCCCCCCUACAGAGGUGGCUCAGGAGCGUGAUGCAGACCCCUCUCCACCACUGGCUCACCCCACUUUGGUGGCGCCUCUAGAGCGGGGUCCCUCGCCACCGACGCCGGACUGGUAGGCGGCUCAGGCAGCACCGGACAGGCGGGCGGCACUGGCUGCGCUGGACAGGCGGGCGGCUCUGGCGUCGCCAGACUGGCGGGCGGCUCUGGCGGCUCCGGACUGGCGGGACUUUCAGUAGGCCUGGCUCUGGGCGCAGGCACAGGACUCACCAGGCUGGAGAGACAUGCAGGAGGCCUGGCUCUGGGCGCAGACACAGGACUCACCAGGCUGGGGAGACAUGCAGGAGGCCUGGCUCUGGGAGCAGGCACAGGACUCACCAGGCUGGGGAGACACACAGGAGGCCUUGUCCUUGACUGAGGCACCGGAUACCCUGGGCCGUGGAGGCGCACUGGAGGUCUCGAGCUGAGAGCCUGCACAACCCGUCCUGGCUGGAUGGUGACCUUGGCCCGGCACGUGCGGGGCGCAGGCACAGGACACGCUGGGCUGUGCCGACGCACUGGAGACAUAGUGCGCAGAGCCAGCGCAGGAUAUCCUGGCCUGAGGAGACACACUGGAGGUCUGGAGAGUAGGACUGGCCCAAUCCUUCCUGGUUGGAUCCUCACCCUAGCCCGGCAGAUGCGGGGAGCUGGGAUGUAACGUACCGGGCUGUGAUUAGACUCCAUGCAUUUUUGGACACACCCAAAGCCAAGUGUUAGGCUGCCUACAGAGAGAGGGGCAUGCAAGCCAAGUGUUAGGCUGCCUCCAGAGAGCGGGGCAUGCAAGCCAAGUGUUAGGCUGCCUCCAGAGAGCGGGGCAUGCAAGCCAAGUGUUAGGCUGCCUCUAGAGAGAGGGGCAUGCAAGCCAAGUGUUAGGCUGACUACAGAAAGAGGGGCAUGCAAGCCAAGUGUUAGGCUGCCUACAGCGAGAGGGGCAUGCAAUGCCAGAGUGUUCGUAUGAUAUCCCAUUCUGUAUGUUUUGUGUGUUGCAGUAACAUAGAGGUCAGUGGGAAUAUCACUUUCGUAAAUGCUUUGUCAAAUGUUCUUCUUCACUGAAGCAGACAUUAGAAGAUAAUAUACUGUACAUUGAUAGUCUAUGAGAGAGUAAGUUGGCACUGUACAAUUAUCAACAGACAGAACAGACAGAAGAUAUAAUAUAACUAUUAUUGGGAAUUUUAAAGUACAUAUGUGCCCAUUAUACAUCUUAGAGUAGUCAGCAGGAUAAGUGCACUCUAUAUGUGUGUCUAGGUCAUUAGGCACCAUUAGACAUGCACCUGUCUUGGGAGUGGGCAUGUCUGUUUAUUUUUGUACCAUUGCUAUGGCCUAAUGUUUACUGUUGCUAUGGUUAUGCCCCCAAUGGAAUUUAUGCCCUAAUGUGAAACGAAGCAAAAAUUAGUGCAAGGCAAAAAGAUAAUGGUGACUAAAUGCCAGAGGGGAUGUAUCAUUAAGGGGGUGAAUAGUUACGCACACUCAAGUUUUCCGUUUUUUGUCUUAUUUCUUGUUUGUUUCACAAUCAAAAAU
This 3073-nucleotide long non-coding RNA is filed under the name Salmo salar (Atlantic salmon). Its description in RNAcentral is "lncRNA (ENSSSAG00000095505.1)". The record is from RNAcentral. Lineage: Eukaryota; Metazoa; Chordata; Actinopteri; Salmoniformes; Salmonidae.